Molecule: small nucleolar RNA, 112 nt
Organism: Cryptomeria japonica (Japanese cedar)
Lineage: Eukaryota; Viridiplantae; Streptophyta; Pinopsida; Cupressales; Cupressaceae
Product: small nucleolar RNA Z279/snoR105/snoR108
Exons: 1
Source: RefSeq, a predicted model, not a curated record
GGGCGAUGAUGAGAGGUAGUUACUCACGAUGUAAUCAUGUGAGAAGGGUGUCCGCCCGGAAUUUUUCUUGUUACGCUUAAUGGACACCCACAAACAAAUCCUUUCUGAUCCC